AGGAGGAACAGCCCCAGUGGCGGAGCAGCUCUGGAAACCUGGAUUCAGCUCCGGCAGGAACUCCGUCUGCAGGGCCUGGAGGCUCCGGGGCGGG
Molecule: microRNA precursor, 94 nt
Filed under: Canis lupus familiaris (dog)
Lineage: Eukaryota; Metazoa; Chordata; Mammalia; Carnivora; Canidae
Description: mir-8834 microRNA precursor family
Rfam family: mir-8834 microRNA precursor family
Source: Rfam by way of RNAcentral